GCAUAUCAAUAAGCGGAGGAAAAGAAACCAACCGGGAUUACCUCAGUAACGGCGAGUGAAGCGGUAACAGCUCAAAUUUGAAAUCUGGCUCUUCCGGAGUCCGAGUUGUAAUUUGUAGAAGAUGCUUUGGGUUGUGGGUUCGGCCUAAGUUCCUUGGAACAGGACGUCAUAGAGGGUGAGAAUCCCGUAUGUGGCCGAGGCCCGCGCCUAUGUAAAGCUCUGUCAACGAGUCGAGUUGUUUGGGAAUGCAGCUCAAAAUGGGUGGUAAAUUUCAUCUAAAGCUAAAUAUGGGCCAGAGACCGAUAGCGCACAAGUAGAGUGAUCGAAAGAUGAAAAGCACUUUGGAAAGAGAGUUAAACAGUACGUGAAAUUGUUGAAAGGGAAGCGCUUGCCACCAGACUUGGGCGCUGUCGAUCACCCCGAGUUCUCUCGAGUGCACUCGACAGCGCACAGGCCAGCAUCGGUUCGGGUGGCUGGAUAAAGGCCGUAGGAACGUGGCUCCCUUCGGGGAGUGUUAUAGCCUACGGUGCCAUGCAGCCCAGCCGGACCGAGGACCGCGCCUUCGGGCUAGGAUGCUGGCGUAAUGGUUGUAAGCGACCCGUCUUGAAACACGGACC
Molecule: ribosomal RNA, 617 nt
Filed under: Erysiphe alphitoides
Lineage: Eukaryota; Fungi; Ascomycota; Leotiomycetes; Helotiales; Erysiphaceae
Description: partial large subunit ribosomal RNA
Rfam family: Eukaryotic large subunit ribosomal RNA
Source: RNAcentral